This 494-nucleotide ribosomal RNA is filed under the name uncultured bacterium. RNAcentral's name for it is "partial 16S ribosomal RNA". It matches the Rfam family "Bacterial small subunit ribosomal RNA", at positions 28 to 507 of the family's 1533-position model. The record is from RNAcentral.
GACGAACGCUGGCGGCGUGCUUAACACAUGCAAGUCGAACGGUGAAGCGCCUUCCUUUUUGGUGGGUGUGGAUGAGUGGCGAACGGGUGAGUAACACGUGAGUAACCUGCCCCCUUCUUCUGGAUAACCGCAUGAAAGUGUGGCUAAUACGGAAUAUUCUGGGUCUGUCGCAUGAUGGGUCUGGGAAAGAUAUUGUUUCGGUGGGGGAUGGGCUCGCGGCCUAUCAGCUUGUUGGUGGGGUGAUGGCCUACCAAGGCGGUGACGGGUAGCCGGCCUGAGAGGGUGGACGGUCACACUGGGAAUGAGACACGGCCCAGACUCGUACGGGAGGCAGCAGUGGGGAAUAUUGCACAAUGGGCGCAAGCCUGAUGCAGCGACGCCGCGUGAGGGAUGGAGGCCUGCGGGUUGUGAACCUCUUUCGCCAGUGAAGCAGGCCUGCCUCGUUUGUGGGUGGGUUGACGGUAGCUGGAUAAGAAGCGCCGGCUAACUACGUG